UACGAAUGGGGCGAGCGUUGUUCGGAAUCACUGGGCGUAAAGCGUGCGUAGGCGGAUGUGAAAGUCAGAAGUGAAAGCCCCGGGCUUAACCUGGGAAUUGCUUUUGAAACUUCAUAUCUAGAGUUCUGGAGGGGCAAGGGGAAUUCCGAGUGUAGAGGUGAAAUUCGCAGAUAUUCGGAGGAACACCAGUGGCGUAGGCGCCUUGCUGGACAGAUACUGACGCUGAGGCACGAAAGCAUGGGGAGCAAACAGG
RNAcentral lists this unclassified non-coding RNA (253 nucleotides) under uncultured Alphaproteobacteria bacterium. RNAcentral's name for it is "contains 16S-23S intergenic spacer region". It matches the Rfam family "Bacterial small subunit ribosomal RNA", at positions 524 to 776 of the family's 1533-position model. Lineage: Bacteria; Pseudomonadati; Pseudomonadota; Alphaproteobacteria. The record is from RNAcentral.